RNAcentral lists this ribosomal RNA (513 nucleotides) under uncultured bacterium. RNAcentral describes it as "bacterial SSU rRNA". It matches the Rfam family "Bacterial small subunit ribosomal RNA", at positions 15 to 518 of the family's 1533-position model. The record is from RNAcentral.
GAUUAUGGCUCAGGAUGAACGCUAGCUACAGGCUUAACACAUGCAAGUCGAGGGGCAGCAGAUCGAAAGCUUGCUUUGAUGCUGGCGACCGGCGCACGGGUGAGUAACGCGUAUCCAACCUUCCCUAUAGUAGAGAAUAGCCCGGCGAAAGUCGGAUUAACGCUCUAUGUUGUAUUUAGAAGACAUCUGAAGAAUACCAAAGGUUUACCGCUAUAGGAUGGGGAUGCGUCUGAUUAGGUAGUAGGCGGGGUAACGGCCCACCUAGCCGACGAUCAGUAGGGGUUCUGAGAGGAAGGUCCCCCACAUUGGAACUGAGACACGGUCCAAACUCCUACGGGAGGCAGCAGUGAGGAAUAUUGGUCAAUGGACGGAAGUCUGAACCAGCCAAGUAGCGUGCAGGAUGACGGCCCUAUGGGUUGUAAACUGCUUUUAUAUAGGGAUAAAGUCGGGGACGUGUCCCCGUUUGUAGGUACUAUAUGAAUAAGGACCGGCUAAUUCCGUGCCAGCAGCUGC